This 447-nucleotide ribosomal RNA is filed under the name uncultured bacterium. RNAcentral's name for it is "bacterial SSU rRNA". It matches the Rfam family "Bacterial small subunit ribosomal RNA", at positions 355 to 825 of the family's 1533-position model. The record is from RNAcentral.
UGGGGAAUCUUGGACAAUGGGCGCAAGCCUGAUCCAGCCAUGCCGCGUGGAUGAUGAAGGCCUUAGGGUUGUAAAAUCCUUUCGUUGGGGACGAUAAUGACGGUACCCAAAGAAGAAGCUCCGGCUAACUUCGUGCCAGCAGCCGCGGUAAUACGAAGGGGGCUAGCGUUGUUCGGAUUUACUGGGCGUAAAGCGCGUGUAGGCGGGUCGUUAAGUUGGGGGUGAAAUCCCGAGGCUCAACCUCGGAACUGCCUUCAAAACUGGCGACCUGGACCUAAGUAGAGGCAAGUGGAAUUGCGAGUGUAGAGGUGAAAUUCGUAGAUAUUCGCAGGAACACCAGUGGCGAAGGCGACUUGCUGGACUUAUGGUGACGCUGAGGCGCGAAAGCGUGGGGAGCAAACAGGAUUAGAUACCCAAGUAGUCCCUGAGCGGGCUGGCAAGGCGCAU